GCCCACUUCGCCAUUUUCCUCCGGAAGUGCGGAUCCCAGCGGCGGUCGUGUAGCUGAGCAGGCCUGGGGCUUGGUUCUAUGUCCCUGUAGCUAUGUUUCCAGUGUCCUCUGGGUGUUUCCAAGAGCAACAAGAAACGAAUAAAUCUCUGCCCCGCAGCGCCUCCACCCCAGAGACCCGGACCAAGUUCACACAGGACAAUCUGUGCCACGCCCAGCGCGAGCGCCUGGACUCGGCCAACCUGUGGGUGCUGGUGGACUGCAUCCUUCGCGACACCUCCGAGGACCUGGGACUCCAGUGUGACGCCGUGAACCUGGCCUUCGGGCGCCGCUGUGAGGAACUGGAGGACGCGCGGCACAAGCUGCAGCACCACCUGCACAAGCCCCAGCUCACACCCCCCAACACCCCCAAGCUGGUGAGUGAGGUGGAGGAGCUGUACAAGUCCAUCACAGCGCUGCGGGAGAAGCUUCUACAAGCGGAGCAGUCCCUGCGCAACCUCAAGGACAUCCACAUGAGCCUGGAGAAGGACGUCACUGCCAUGACCAACAGUCUCUUCAUCGACCGCCAGAAGUGCAUGGCCCAUCGUACUUGCUACCCCACCAUUCUGCAGCUGGCUGGCUACCAGUGAGCAGCGGCACGGUGCUUCCCCCCAAUCCCCCAAAUAAACAGUGCGUUAGCUUUCUGCA
Molecule: long non-coding RNA, 684 nt
Organism: Homo sapiens (human)
Lineage: Eukaryota; Metazoa; Chordata; Mammalia; Primates; Hominidae
Gene: TEKT4P2
Product: tektin 4 pseudogene 2
Source: Ensembl